UGUAGCUCAGUGGUAGAGUACAUGCUUAGUAUGUAUGAGGCUCUAGGUUUGAUCCCCAGCA
RNAcentral lists this transfer RNA (61 nucleotides) under Erinaceus europaeus (western European hedgehog). It matches the Rfam family "tRNA", at positions 6 to 65 of the family's 71-position model. Rfam says of the family: Transfer RNA (tRNA) molecules are approximately 80 nucleotides in length. Their secondary structure includes four short double-helical elements and three loops (D, anti-codon, and T loops). The record is from Rfam by way of RNAcentral. Lineage: Eukaryota; Metazoa; Chordata; Mammalia; Eulipotyphla; Erinaceidae.